GGAGGGGGUUAGCGUUGUUCGGAAUUACUGGGCGUAAAGCGCGCGUAGGCGGAUUGGAAAGUUGGGGGUGAAAUCCCGGACCUCAACCCCGGAACUUGCUUUAAAACUUCCAGACUAGAGUUCCAGAGAGGUGAGUGGGAUUCCG
Molecule: ribosomal RNA, 145 nt
Filed under: uncultured Alphaproteobacteria bacterium
Lineage: Bacteria; Pseudomonadati; Pseudomonadota; Alphaproteobacteria
Description: partial 16S ribosomal RNA
Rfam family: Bacterial small subunit ribosomal RNA
Source: RNAcentral